Molecule: transfer RNA, 72 nt
Filed under: Camelus bactrianus (Bactrian camel)
Lineage: Eukaryota; Metazoa; Chordata; Mammalia; Artiodactyla; Camelidae
Also listed under: 1 other name
Rfam family: tRNA
About the family: Transfer RNA (tRNA) molecules are approximately 80 nucleotides in length. Their secondary structure includes four short double-helical elements and three loops (D, anti-codon, and T loops).
Source: Rfam by way of RNAcentral
GAGAGUAUAGCUUAGCGGUUGAGUACAUGCCUAGCACGCAUAAGGUCCUAGGUUUAAUCCCCAGUACCUCCA